AGUGAACGCUGGCGGUAGGCCUAACACAUGCAAGUCGAACGGCAGCACAGUAAGAGCUUGCUCUUACGGGUGGCGAGUGGCGGACGGGUGAGGAAUACAUCGGAAUCUACUUUUUCGUGGGGGAUAACGUAGGGAAACUUACGCUAAUACCGCAUACGACCUACGGGUGAAAGCAGGGGAUCUUCGGACCUUGCGCGAUUGAAUGAGCCGAUGUCGGAUUAGCUAGUUGGCGGGGUAAAGGCCCACCAAGGCGACGAUCCGUAGCUGGUCUGAGAGGAUGAGCAGCACCACUGGAACUGAGACGCGGUCCAGCUCCCGCCGGGAGGCAGCGGUGGGGAAUGUUGGAGAAGGGGCGCAGGCUUGCUCCCCCAAUCCCGGGGGGAGGAAAGAGGCCUUGGGUUUGUAAGCCCUUUUUGUGGGGAAAAAAAAGCAGCAGGUUAAUCCCCCGCUGUUCUCACGGUCCCAAAAAAAAAACCCCCGCCUAAUUUCGUC
This 492-nucleotide ribosomal RNA is filed under the name uncultured bacterium. RNAcentral's name for it is "partial 16S ribosomal RNA". It matches the Rfam family "Bacterial small subunit ribosomal RNA", at positions 29 to 507 of the family's 1533-position model. The record is from RNAcentral.